Molecule: small nucleolar RNA, 93 nt
Organism: Malania oleifera
Lineage: Eukaryota; Viridiplantae; Streptophyta; Magnoliopsida; Santalales; Ximeniaceae
Source: RefSeq, a predicted model, not a curated record
AUGGGGCAAGUGAUGAAUCACAUAUCAGCUAAUGGGUAAUUUGCGGCUGAAGUAUUCCAUUGAUGCUACAACCUUGGAGACCUGAUGCCCUUU